UGAGGAAUCUUGCACAAUGGGCGAAAGCCUGAUGCAGCGACGCCGCGUGGAGGAUGAAGGUUUUCGGAUCGUAAACUCCUGUUAAGUGGGAAGAAAGGCUCAUGCUUAAUACGCAUGAGCGAUGACGGUACCAUUAGAGAAAGCACCGGCUAACUUCGUGCCAGCAGCCGCGGUAAUACGAGGGGUGCUAGCGUUAUUCGGAAUUAUUGGGCGUACAGGGCGCGUAGACGGCAUGUUAAGUCAACUGUUAAAUUCCCCGGCCUAACUGGGGACCAGCAGUAGAUACUGGCAAGCUAGAGGAUGGAAGAGAGAAGUGGAAUUCUCGGAGUAGCGGUAAAAUGCGUAGAUCUCGAGAGGAACACCGAUGGCGAAGGCAGCUUCUUGGUCCAUAUCUGACGUUGAGGCGCGAAAGCGUGGGGAGCAAACAGGAUUAGAUACCCCUGUAGUCC
Molecule: ribosomal RNA, 449 nt
Filed under: uncultured bacterium
Lineage: Bacteria
Description: bacterial SSU rRNA
Rfam family: Bacterial small subunit ribosomal RNA
Source: RNAcentral